Molecule: long non-coding RNA, 417 nt
Organism: Heterocephalus glaber (naked mole-rat)
Lineage: Eukaryota; Metazoa; Chordata; Mammalia; Rodentia; Bathyergidae
Source: Ensembl
AGGAGGCCUCUGAACAGCAUUCAUCUAUAUGGGUUCCUCUGAAGAAUGCUUUAUUUCUAUGAACUUUGGCAACAAGUAAUGCGAAUUAUACUUAUCAUGCACUCAGAGAAAUCUUCACUUCUCAGAGAGUAGAGGUCUAAAGGAGGGCUCUAUGGAUAGCUGAUAUGAGCCAAUCCCAGUGCAGCAAGCUAACCAAGAAAGCAUUCCUGGUAGAAAUGGUUCUCCUGCCUCACCCCUUGGAGAAAUGAGACAAGCACAACACACUGUCUUCUCGGAAGCUUCUAAUUUUGAGAAUGAAAAACCAGAAAAGAAAAAGUAAGUCAAAUAUACUUCAUAAACUUUGUGUUCUCUUGGUUCUAUAAUGUUAAAUGUGAGUAUUUUAGUGGGUUUCUUGCCAAAGUACUUUUUUUUCACUGC